ACGGGAGGCAGCAGUGGGGAAUAUUGCACAAUGGGCGCAAGCCUGAUGCAGCGAUGCCGCGUGAGGGAAGAAGGUUUUCGGAUUGUAAACCUCUGUCAUCAGGGACGAAAAUGACGGUACCUGAGAAGGAAGCUCCGGCUAACUACGUGCCAGCAGCCGCGGUAAUACGUAGGGAGCGAGCGUUAUCCGGAAUUACUGGGUGUAAAGGGAGCGUAGGCGGGACUGUAAGUCAGAUGUGAAAUAUGCCGGCUCAACUGGCAGACUGCAUUUGAAACUGCGGUUCUUGAGUGAAGUAGAGGUAAGCGGAAUUCCUAGUGUAGCGGUGAAAUGCGUAGAUAUUAGGAGGAACACCAGUGGCGAAGGCGAUCUACUGGACGAUAACUGACGCUGAGGCGCGAAAGCGUGGGGAGCAAACAGGAUUAGAUACCCUGGUA
This 434-nucleotide ribosomal RNA is filed under the name uncultured Ruminococcus sp. Its description in RNAcentral is "partial 16S ribosomal RNA". It matches the Rfam family "Bacterial small subunit ribosomal RNA", at positions 341 to 792 of the family's 1533-position model. The record is from RNAcentral. Lineage: Bacteria; Bacillati; Bacillota; Clostridia; Eubacteriales; Oscillospiraceae.